AGAGUGACCACCUCAGCUGUCCUUGCCCUCAGGGGUCUUACAAUCCAGUAGGACCUGAAUCCAAUGACCAGGAGGCAGCGCCUGCUAUAGCAGUCACACCAAGCUUGGCUUCCUCCUUCUUAGUGAAAGUACUAAACCAGAAGUUCCCCAACUUACAGCAAGAAGGCAGCCAUCUGCAAGCCAGGAAGAGUGUCCUCACCAGGAAUUGAAUCUGCCAGCACUUUGAUCUUGGACUUCAGCCUCCAGAACUGUUGGAAAUAAUGUGUGUUGUUUAAGCUACUCCAUCUAUGUUAUUUUGUUAUAGUAGUCUGAGCUAGGAUAAUUGCUGAAAGAUAUAUUUGGGGGCCUGAAUCUGGUCCCUUAAACUUUCAACAAUAAACAUUUAUUGAACAUCUCCGAGGUUCCUAUUCAUUCAACAGAUGCUUAUUAAGCUCCUAUUAUGUGUUUAUUCGUCAACAUUUACUGAGGGCCUACAUUGUGCAUUGGGCUAGGUAUGCCUAUCCAUUCCUUCAGGGAAAUCUCUCAGUCUGGUGGGGACCCCUUACCUAUCAGUAUCCAGAGGGGACACAGCUCACUCAUUCACACACAUGCGCACUGCAAGAAGGGUGUCCUGCACAACAUAGGUGCUUAAAUGACUUCAAUGAAUACACAUGCUAGAUUCAGCGUUUUACACCACUGUGCUUAUGCACAGUUCCUGUCUUUCCAGAGCCUGUAAUUUAUUCAAGGAGCUGAAAGUAAAUGAUACAAGACAACAACAUAAAGAAGUAAGCCCUAUGACCUACGCUGUAGCUGGAGGAGAGACCACAGGAACCAGGAUGGAUGAAUGGCAGCAAACCCCAAACUCCGGCCCUUGACCUUAGGUUAGCCAAGCUGGAUCUCUCUGAACCUUAGUUUCCCUAUCUGUGAAAUUGGUGAUCCUCAUGCCUAUUACGGGACAGCGUGAGCCUCAGUGCAGAGGGCACUGCUUGGUGGGAUGAAAGAGUGCAACAAAUAGUAGCUACCAUUGUUAUCAAUGAAGCCUGCAACCACUGUGACUGGGGGCCCAGGCAGAAGGAUAGAGUGAUGGAGGGGGUGAGAUCAGGAUGACUUAUUAACCUUGAGCUGGGGCCUGGUGAGCUCUCUCCCGUUGGCACUGGCUUGCUGUGCCUGCAGGGCUGGGGCUGACUGUGGGUGGGGUGUUUAUUCUGGGAAGCAGCCCGGGCUGCUCCUCACACCCUGCUCCAGCAAGAAAAGAGGGCUUCGAGUCAGAACUGAGUCCUGUGCUGGGCCUGGCAUGUAUGAGCCAGCCCACCUGUCCAGAUGGCCCAGGGCUGAGAAUGUCCAGGAGGCCCAGCCUCAAGGGCCAGCUGGGUGUUUCAGGUUUAGGACACACUGUCCCCACAGGACUCACCAGACCCCCACGAAUCCAGUUCUAGAUGGCCUGAAAUGCUCAGCUUUUGGCGUUCUGGAGGCUGAGCCCUGGAUGCCAGUGUGGAAGUGAGGGUCCUGGGCUGGGGUGUAGGGGUGAGUGAGGUGGCAUUGGAGGUGGGCGGUGGGGGUAUCCCUGCUGGCUUCUCAGCCCCUAGAAGAGCUGCUGAGCUACUUCAUCACGCAGGUUCAUGGACAUUCACCUGUGCAGUCCUGGUACUCAGCAGGGUCCAUGUUUGGCUGAAUAUUCUGCCAUCACCCUCUUGAAGUUCUUAAUCAUUUUGGAGUACAGGGCCUGGAAUUUUCAUUUUGCACUGGGUCUGGCAAAUUGUGUAGCCUGUCCUGGCUUCAUGCUUUGCUUUCCUCCAGUAGUAGCUUCUCCCUCAAAUGGGGCAUUCAGGUGCACCCCUCAGCCACCCCCAGCCAGCCAUGAGUGCUUUAGGUAAGCCCAGUUCCUAAAAAGUGGUGGGGGACAAGCUUCUGCCCCUCGAACCCAACAGUACGAACCUUUCCGAAAAAGCUCAAGGCCAGCAGUGUGA
Molecule: long non-coding RNA, 1946 nt
Organism: Acinonyx jubatus (cheetah)
Lineage: Eukaryota; Metazoa; Chordata; Mammalia; Carnivora; Felidae
Exons: 3
Source: RefSeq, a predicted model, not a curated record